AUGCUGAACUUGUGGCACUGCCAGAUCCUUAACCCACUGACUGAGGCCAGGGAUCGAACCUGCAUCCUCAUGGAUCCCAGUCACGUUCCUAACCCACUGAGCCACAAUGGAAACUCCUCAUUUACCAGUUUUAAAAGGUGCCAGUUACCUUUUUCUUUCUUGUUUUCUUUUUUAUAAACUCCUCUUUUUAUAUCAGUUUUUUGGAGUUGACAACACGAUCACUAAUUCACGCAGCCAUUCAGGGGCUGGUCCUUGAGCCAUCGCCCAGUGCCAGGAGCUGGGCUAGCAGUGGCAGUAUGGCAGGCAGCAGGAAGAUCACUUUCCAGCCCUAAGACCUGGACCCGUUACCACUGUCACACAGGCCAUGAAGGAAAAGGAGUGCUUAAUAGAGGACUUCGCCUUGCCUGGGGGGCGGGGGCAGUUUCUGGGAGGAGUGAUAUUUAUUUAAUUUUUAUUUUAUUUUAUUUGUUUAUUUUUUUAUUACCUAAUGAAUUUAUCACAUCUGUAGUUGUGUAAUGAUCAUCACAAUCCAAUUUCGGGGAGGAGUGAUGUUUAAAUUGUUCUUCAAGUGGGACUCAGCCCGGAGCAGACGUGGGAGGCAAAGAGCAAAGAGCAGCACCGAGACAGGUCCUGAGACCUGAAGACUGACCUGGGCCGCCGAGAUGAACCGGGACAGUGGCCAGAGCUGGACUUUGUGGAGGGCAGGACCUGCAUUAAGAGGUGCUGUGCUGAGCCCUGGGCGUGGCUUCUCCUGCUGCAGCCUCACAACCACCCUAGGAGGUUUUCAGAGGCAACAAAGAAGCAGAAAGAUCUUCGGACUAUAUGAUAGAUGGUACAACACCAGCUGCUACCCACCCACCUAAGUGUGCCCGGCUGUGCUGGGUGGGCCCUUUCUGUGCAUCAGCUACUCAAACUUGAACGUGAUCCCAGCCACCUGGAGACUUGUUAAAACACAGAGCUCCUGAUUCAGUAAAUUCAUUCUUAGCUGCGUAACGGAAUACCACAGAAUGAGGGGCUUAGCAACACCCGCUUAUUAGCUGACAGGUCAGUAGUCAGAAGUCUGGGUGCGGCACGGCUGGCUUCUCUGCUCCAGGUUGUGUAAGGAUGGAAUCAAGUCCUAGGCUGGGCUCCUUCCUUUCUGGCGGCUGGGCAAGAGUCUGCAUCUGCCAACACGCAGAGCCCCGUUUUCUGUCAUCCCUCCUGAAGGCCACUUACAGCCUUGCCACUUGUCCCCUCCUCCUUCCAGCCAGCCACCAGGCAUCUCUCUCAUGUCAACCCUGAUUUCAGAAAAAGCCUGGUCUCUUUCAAGGGCUCAGUCCGGUUGAUCUCCCUUGCACAAACUGGGCGGUGUAACAGAACCUAGUCAUGGGUAAAAUUCGUCAUGGCCGUCAUCCUGGGGAUUAUUCCCGGCAUGCCUCCCACCCCCGUCUCCCCCUCCCCGCUAGGAAAGGGAAUUGUGGGCCGUUCUAGAACUCUGCCGGCUACAGUAGGUGGGGCGAACAUUUGCGCUUGUAACAAAUUCCCAGCUAAAGAGAUGCUGCUGCUCUGGAAAUGGCAUUGCCAGAGAACGACUUACCUGUGUUGGCUCCUUGCACCGCCUUCGGCUUAGAUUGUGCCUAAUUUACAAAUAGGACACUGAGUGUUUUAAGUCUAGAGGUAACGUUCAAAGUUUAUAGCAACUAGUAUCUCGUGGGCCCAACCAAUCAGAAGCAACGUCAAGGUGAUCGGGAGGGGUUCUGGCCGUGUGUAACCGCUGUGCCCUUGCUGGUCCGCACCUGCUGCCCAAGGAGCCCCUGCAAGAGGGGGUUGGAGCCAGCACCCAGACCAGAGCUGGGACUUGGCUGCUCCAUAAGCUAAGAUGAAUGAGAAAAUGCCCCACCAAGGCUAAGUCAGGAGAAGAGGAAUAAAGAGACGGUUUACUGAUUCCCAAACCCAUCUUCUUCCUUGCGUUCUCUCUGCUCCAUGCACUAUAAAGCCACCUUCCUCAAGGUUAAAAUCUGAUUAGUUUCCUACUGCUGCUCUAACAAAUUACCACAGAUUUAGUGCCUGAAACCACACAGAUCUUAUUGUCUCACAGUGCUGGAUGCCAGACUCUCAAAUCCACCUCAGGGGCCUAUCAUCAAAUAUCUGUUUCCUGGAGUUCCUGUUGUAGCUCAGUGGGUUAAGAAGCCGGCUAGUAUCCAUGAGGAUGCAGGUUCUGUCCCUGGCCGCACUCCGUGGGUUGC
Sus scrofa (pig) is the source of this 2225-nucleotide non-coding RNA. NCBI's taxonomy places the organism in Eukaryota, Metazoa, Chordata, Mammalia, Artiodactyla, Suidae. The record is from RefSeq and is a predicted model, not a curated record.